RNAcentral lists this small RNA (93 nucleotides) under Pedobacter psychrophilus. RNAcentral's name for it is "Pedobacter sp. CCM 8644 Flavo-1 RNA". It matches the Rfam family "Flavo-1 RNA". The record is from Rfam by way of RNAcentral. Lineage: Bacteria; Pseudomonadati; Bacteroidota; Sphingobacteriia; Sphingobacteriales; Sphingobacteriaceae.
UAUAAGUUGCGUUAACGAUUGAAGCGACAUCCUUUUUUUGCCCUCACCAUAUUGCAAUUGCAAAAAAAGAUAUAGCAUAAAGCGUGUUAAAAC